Molecule: ribosomal RNA, 709 nt
Filed under: uncultured bacterium
Lineage: Bacteria
Description: bacterial SSU rRNA
Rfam family: Bacterial small subunit ribosomal RNA
Source: RNAcentral
AACGAAGAUUAAUACCCCAUAGUAUUGUUAAGUGGCAUCGUUUAACAAUUAAAACUGAGGUGGUAUAAGAUGACUAUGCGUCCUAUUAGCUAGUUGGUAUGGUAACGGCAUACCAAGGCUACGAUAGGUAGGGGUCCUGAGAGGGAGAUCCCCCACACUGGUACUGAGACACGGACCAGACUCCUACGGGAGGCAGCAGUGAGGAAUAUUGGACAAUGGUCGGAAGACUGAUCCAGCCAUGCCGCGUGCAGGAAGACUGCCCUAUGGGUUGUAAACUGCUUUUAUACAGGAAGAAUAAGGAGCUCGUGAGCUCUGAUGACGGUACUGUAAGAAUAAGCACCGGCUAACUCCGUGCCAGCAGCCGCGGUAAUACGGAGGGUGCAAGCGUUAUCCGGAAUCAUUGGGUUUAAAGGGUCCGUAGGCGGGUAUAUAAGUCAGUGGUGAAAGUCUGCAGCUUAACUGUAGAAUUGCCAUUGAUACUGUAGAUCUUGAAUCGUUGUGAAGUGGUUAGAAUAUGUAGUGUAGCGGUGAAAUGCUUAGAGAUUACAUAGAAUACCGAUUGCGAAGGCAGAUCACUAACAACGUAUUGACGCUGAUGGACGAAAGCGUAGGUAGCGAACGGGAUUAGAUACCCCGGUAGUCUACGCCGUAAACGAUGGAUACUAGUUGUUUGGUUUUCGGACUGAGUGACUAAGCGAAAGUGAUAAGU